Molecule: ribosomal RNA, 253 nt
Filed under: uncultured bacterium
Lineage: Bacteria
Description: partial 16S ribosomal RNA
Rfam family: Bacterial small subunit ribosomal RNA
Source: RNAcentral
GACGGAGGGUGCAAGCGUUGUUCGGAAUUACUGGGCGUAAAGGGCGCGUAGGCGGUCUGUUAAGUUCGGUGUGAAAGCCCCCGGCUCACCUGGGGAACUGCGCCGGAAACCGACAGACUCGAGUACCGGAGAGGAGGGUGGAAUUCCUGGUGUAGCGGUGAAAUGCGUAGAUAUCAGGAGGAACACCGGUGGCGAAGGCGGCCCUCUGGACGGAUACUGACGCUGAGGCGCGAAAGCUAGGGGAGCAAACGGG